UCCUGUUGAAUAGCAAAUAUGUUGGUUAGUAAUAAAGCUAUAAUACAUGAGUACAUGAAUUUAAAAUGCAAAUGCAAGGACACAGAUCACCCUUUUCCCAAUUUAGCAGCCAAUAUGGAUAUAUAGGUGUCAAGUGCGAAAGACCAGGUCUCCAGUAAAGGUCUAAUUAAACUGAUUUAUUGCUAAAAUGCCUAAAUGCACAGGAAUCUCUUCAACUAAUGGUUCACACUUGCUUGGAGUUAAAUAAGAGUCAACUGAAUUCAGGGGGGAAUUGGAUUUAGUCCUCUUGUGGACAUGUAGGGAUUCUAGGUUGAUUCUUCAUUUAACUCCACCCCAGGUUCUGCCAUUCCUUCUCUUCUAACAGGACUGCAAUUCCCAGAAUUCUCAGUAACUUCUUGAGAAUCCUAGAAACUGGAUUGGUUGGAAUGGCACUGAUUUUGCAGUAUUUUGCAUCCUCCUGGCCAGUAGGGAUGGGAUGGAGAACUGUGAAGUAUACAUUCGGCCAUCAAUCAAUUUAACAGGAGCAGCAUUCAGGGACUUCUCCAUUAUGCCCAGGACCUGUGAAAGCUGACGUUUUGUAUUUCAAAUGCAAACGUUCUCAAAAAAGACCAACUAUUAACUUCCCCAUUUAAGGGAAGAAUUCAAGUUUUUAAUCCUCCUCCCGAUCAUUUCCCUAAUUUCCCUCCUUCCUCUGCAUUGAGUGGUAACAAAUCAUGAGACAUUGGGAGAGUUUUGUGAACUCUUGGUUCACUUUCUGCUGAAGGACGAUCUGUCACUUUAACACUGGUCAGCCCAGCAGAGAUGUAAUUGCUCCUGUUCUUAUUAAAAAAGGAAGAAGCUGCAUUCCAUAUUGUUAAAUAAUCCCUUCUAGUUGACCAUAACAUUACUUGGAUUCUCUGGGGGGAAAAAACCUGAGCAAAAGAAGGAGGGCAAUUCCAGCCUAAAAGGGAUA
Thamnophis elegans (Western terrestrial garter snake) is the source of this 952-nucleotide long non-coding RNA. RefSeq lists it as uncharacterized. The record is from RefSeq and is a predicted model, not a curated record. NCBI's taxonomy places the organism in Eukaryota, Metazoa, Chordata, Lepidosauria, Squamata, Natricidae. The transcript is spliced from 3 exons.